AUGCGUUGUUCCCCUCGGUUGGAUUGUUCAUCCUUCUUCGCCGAUGGUGUGCUCAUCUAUUGCAGUAGCCUUCGUGUGCUGGAUGAACAGUGCCGGUUGGUUUCUUCCCGUUGUGUCCUGCAUCGACAGUCGCAUCUUUCUGCCAUUGCCAUUGAGGUUCAACGAUCUGCUAGGUUGCUGCAUCUGCAACUGUUAAAUAAGCUGGUCAGCUCUGCCUCUGGGGCAAAAGGUCAGCAAAUCUGCUUGGCUAUUCCUCCCAAGGUGAUGAGAGAUUGCUUGUUGCAGACUACAUGCCUAGAAAGACAUAUCUUCCACUAG
This 318-nucleotide ribosomal RNA is filed under the name Triticum aestivum (bread wheat). RNAcentral describes it as "partial small subunit ribosomal RNA". The record is from RNAcentral. Lineage: Eukaryota; Viridiplantae; Streptophyta; Magnoliopsida; Poales; Poaceae.